CACGUAGGCGGAUCGUUAAGUCGGGGGUGAAAUCCUGGAGCUCAACUCCAGAACUGCCUUCGAUACUGGCGAUCUUGGAGUCCGGGAGAGGUGAGUGGAACUCCGAGUGUAGAGGUGAAAUUCGUAGAUAUUCGGAAGAACACCAGUGGCGAAGGCGGCUCACUGGCCCGGUACUGACGCUGAGGUGCGAAAGCGUGGGGAGCAAACA
This 208-nucleotide ribosomal RNA is filed under the name uncultured bacterium. Its description in RNAcentral is "partial 16S ribosomal RNA". It matches the Rfam family "Bacterial small subunit ribosomal RNA", at positions 568 to 774 of the family's 1533-position model. The record is from RNAcentral.